CCUACGGGCGGCAGCAGUGAGGAAUAUUGGUCAAUGGGCGCGACCCUGAUCCAGCGAAGUAGCGUGUAGGAUGACUGCCCUACGGGUUGUAAACUUCUUUUAUCAAGGAAUAAAGUGAGGCAAGUUUGCCUUUUUGUAUGUACUUUAUAAAUAAGAAUCGGCUAACUCCUUGCUAGCAGCCGCGGGAAUAAGGGGGAUCCUGGCGUUAGCCGGAUUUUGUGGGGUUAAAGGGAGAGUUGAUGGGUUGUUAAGUCAGUUGUGAAAGUUUGCGGGUCAACCGUAAAAUUGCAAUUGAUACUGGCAGCCUUGAGUAAAGUUGAGGUAGGCGGAAUUCGUGGUGUAGCGGUGAAAUGCUUAGAUAUCACGAAGAACUCCGAUUGCGAAGGCAGCUUACUAAACUGCCACUGACAUUGAUGCUCGAAAGUGUGGGUAUCAAACAGGAUUAGAUACCCGAGUAGUC
This 460-nucleotide ribosomal RNA is filed under the name uncultured bacterium. Its description in RNAcentral is "partial 16S ribosomal RNA". It matches the Rfam family "Bacterial small subunit ribosomal RNA", at positions 338 to 795 of the family's 1533-position model. The record is from RNAcentral.